Fukomys damarensis (Damara mole-rat) is the source of this 2072-nucleotide long non-coding RNA. RefSeq lists it as uncharacterized. The record is from RefSeq and is a predicted model, not a curated record. The transcript is spliced from 4 exons. Lineage: Eukaryota; Metazoa; Chordata; Mammalia; Rodentia; Bathyergidae.
CCGAGAACGCCAGGCGCGGGGCGGGACGUGGCCCUCAGCUCCUCCCUGGUCGCAGCGACACCUGGGCGGCCCCGUGGUCGGUACGUCCGCCCCACAAUCUAUGGGCCUGAACUCCUCGGCUCGCUUUUGAGAGCUCACGACUUCACUUGCCCGACGGGGCCGGGGAGGGUUAGGGAGCCCCAGUGCCACGCCGUCACCGCUGCCGGGCCGGGGAGGAAGAGGGAGGCGGACCCCGGCUGAGCCGCCAGGACUUAUGAUGGCGGCUCACGCUUCGCAAAGACAGUGACGGCGAUCACUUGGAGCGGAGCAGCCACGGCGCGCAGACGCCAUGGCGAGUGGGCGGGACCGGGGUGGGGCGGUGAGAACCGGCCACGCCUCCGACGCCGGGACGAACCUGGCGUUUUUCUGUACUGCGCUGCGAAAGUCUUCCAGAGUACUGAUAGGAAAAAGGAUGGAAUGCAGAAGGACCUUUGAAGAGAUGGGCGGCCUGAUCCAGAGAUCAUGAACCCUGCUCUGCUUUGGAUUCCAAGGCAUCAGAUGACACAACUCUAUAUAGUACUUUGAUGGCAGCCACAGGAAAGACUCCACUGGGACCACCCAGCUGAGUGACUCCUCCAUUCUUACCUCCAUGAAGAUAUCAUAUGAUCUAAUGUCCUGUGUUGGAUUAACUAAAGGUCAGCUUGAGCAGGGUCACCCAGCUGAACUGGGUCAGCAUGGUUCUGGGUGUGGAUGACCCACCUGGGAAUUGCUGCCAGAAGGGCAUAAAAGGAGAGGGGGAAGGGAAAGUUGCAUGAUGCUGAUUUUCCUGAAGAAGCUGCUUUUUGGUGGCUUUUCUUCAAAGGAGCUCUGGCUGCUGUCUUCCUUCAAGAGCACUUCAAUCCUUGUCAUGUCUCCUGGCUCCAGUGCAGAUCUCAGCCUUUGGCACAAACCCUUCACCCCAACAGCACAGGUUUCUAGCUUCUGCCAAUGGCCCUUGGGCCUUUCCAGUGCAGAUCCUCAAUAGGACUUGCAGAGGACAUUGCCCUGGGCUCCACACCCUUGACUGGGUCCUCCAGGUCUCCGGCGUGCAGAGGUUUGCACUCUUCUAAAUGGGACUCUGGUCACCACUGUUUGAAGCAAAUCCCUUCAUCAAAAAUGGAAGACCUUGCUCCACUCCCUACUUGGCCCAUGUAUGUAAUGUCUAUACUGCUGGUUUCUAUAAAAUAUAAAUUUAAAAAAUUUUAUUGUAUUGGUGCUUUUGUAACAUUUUAUAUUUGCUAGUAUUUUGUCAUUUCUUAUUCUCCCUUUUAAUCUCUUGUUAAUGAAGUUUGGUUCAUUCAAUUUUUCACCCAGUUGACAGCCUACAACUUUGCUAGGGUGUCUCCUGCAGAUUUCAUUAAGCAGAAAAUGAUGGAAAUAAAAAUACAAUGUCACUGGACAUGAUCAUGUUAAUCGAAAUAAGCCAGACGCAGAAAGACAAGUACAUAAUUGCUAUGUUUUCUCCUAAUAUGUGACAUCUAAAAAGAUAACAUGAAAAUAUAUAGAAGGGAGACAAUUAUUAGACAAAAGGAAAGGAAUAAGGAGGUGGGAGGGUAAGGGAAGAGAUAAGAGAAAGGAGUUAAGAAUUAUAUCUCCCAAAGAGUGAUUGAUAUUGAUCUGAAUUGAGGUGAAAAAUAGAUGCCUACAAAGCAUUAUAUAUGGCAUUGCCAAUUCUUUAGUUUCAAAAAUGUGUUGAUGCAUAGAAAUAGCAAGGUAUCAGAGAAUAUUGUUCACUGAACUGCUAUAAUCUGCCUCUGACAGUGAGAUGCUGAACAUGUUUUCCGUUUUGAGAGCAUGCAUUUUUGAAUUGUUAUUAAACUGUUUCUAAUCAGAGAAAAUUAAUGAUUGCUAAAUAUGUGAGGUGAUAGAUAUAUUAGCUUGAUUGCAGUAAUAAUUUCAUAUUCAUUUGUAUCUCAAAACAUGAUGCUAUACACUUUACAUAUUAUUUUUGUCAAUUGUACUAAAAAAUUAAAUAAGUAAAUAUAAAAUGCAAACUAAAUGUAAGCCAAAGAGCAGCAAAGUUGAAAUCUCUCUUCAGAUACUAGCCCAACAAA